RNAcentral lists this unclassified non-coding RNA (1863 nucleotides) under Bombus terrestris (buff-tailed bumblebee). RNAcentral's name for it is "misc RNA ENSBTSG00005025376.1". The record is from RNAcentral. Lineage: Eukaryota; Metazoa; Arthropoda; Insecta; Hymenoptera; Apidae.
GUGCACUGGCGUCGUCGGAUACCUCGUGUUCGUCGCGACGUCCAACUGGCCAGGCUGAUCUGCUUUCGCCGAGAUUUCACCGCCAGGCUUAGGGGAAGGGGCGCGAUUUGCGCGGGAAACUUGCGCGCCGCCAACCUCCACUCGUGUCUGUCCCUCUUUCUCCCACUCUUUGGUUCUGCCUUUCGUUUGAUCUUUUACUCAUGGAAUCUUUUUUAUCAUCCUGGUAAAACUCGAGCAGCUACAGUAUCGUGUACGCGUUUGAGUCUGCGUAUCAAACUUCUCGAGACCAAUUUUUCACAAUGACUACGGUUACCUAUAACUUCGUAUAUGCUUUGUUGAAGCUUGAAGGAAGAAAGAUGUUGCGAAUGAACAUGCUGGACAAUUUCUAUCGUGGAAUCUAUAAACGUGGUUUUCUUUUUCACAGUGGCCAGAGUAACAUAAUGGCUUGGACUAUGAUUCCUUGAGAUUUGAAAGAAGAAACGAUUGAAAAGGAACAUGUUGGACGAUUUUUAUUAUGGAAUAGUAUGUAACUACAAGUUUCGGUGACAUGUCUUAGAUUAUGCUAUGUAUUAAUCUCGUAGAAACGUGGUUUUCUUUUUCACAGUGGCCAGAGUAACGUAAUGGCUUGGACUAUGAUUCGUUGAAAUUUGAAAGAAGAAACGAUUGGAAAGGAACAUGUUGGACGAUUUUUAUUAUGGAAUAGUAUGUAACUACAAGUUUCGGUGACAUGUCUUAGACUAUGCUAUGUAUUAAUCUCGUAGAAACGUGGUUUUCUUUUUCACAGUGGCCAGAGUAACGUAAUGGCUUGGACUAUGAUUCGUUGAAAUUUUGAAGAAGAAACGAUUGAAGAAGAACAUGUUGGACUACUCUUAUUAUGACUGUAGGCGUCAACGAUGUGUGUUAAACUGUACAUAGGAUGAAUCUUUUGGAGAUGGGUUUCCAAUAGCAACUACGGAAGUUCGUUGCGAAACGUGAGUCUAAGUUUCGAAGAACGCGGUAUAAACGUUAAAAUAUUUCAAGCUCGAAUUAUACGGUUCAAAGUCGAUGACUUUCUGUUGGCGAAUAAAUGGAGAAAAAGAUUGGAAAUUAUAGACGGACUAUCGAUUAUUGCCGAAAAUAAUCGAAAGCGAAGAAUAAGGAAGAUAAUAUUUCAAACCGGACACUAAACCAACCUUCUACGUUUGUUCGCCGUCUUCUGUAAAUGGGAAAAGUAAAGGAGAUGAAUAAACGAGCUUCGUACGAGAAAACGUGACGAGCAGACGCCAAGAUAAACGUAGAUGAUCACUCGAUAGCUUACGAGGAACGAGCAGGAUGUAUAAAAACAUGGAAUUUCUUGAAAAAACGUUUGAUCCAACAAUCAGUAACUCGAUAUGUACAGAUAUAUUUGAAGAAAUACUUGAUAACACGAAGUAAUUUAUACUUUGUUUCAACUUGAGUCCCAUCUGAUCAUAAAUUAGAAUAAUAAAUCGGAAGAAUAAAUCUUCAUAAAUCAGAAUAUAAUAUUUCUUAAUAGUCAUUCCGUACUUUGUGUUUGCAAUAUUUCGCAAAAUUAAUUUCCAUUUUUCUUAUUGUGCAACGGUUAAUUCCGGUCAUUAUUUUUAUCGAUCUUUUUCGUUUCCAAAAAUUCGAAGAAAUUUAAUCCAAAGUAUAAUUAUCGCUGUCAUAAUUUGCAAUUAAAUCAUCGAUCCAACACGAUCUAUCCUCUCGACUAUAUUUCGAAUAUUUCACAAAAUUGAUUUUCAUUCUUCUCAUUGUACGACAGUUAGCACUGAUCGAUGUUUGAUUUUCGUUUCUAGAAAUUCUAAGAAAUUCGUACGAUAAAUUGCCAUAAUUUACUCAUUCCACAGGCAUUACAACGUCAGA